RNAcentral lists this ribosomal RNA (385 nucleotides) under Gomphonema affine. RNAcentral describes it as "partial small subunit ribosomal RNA". It matches the Rfam family "Eukaryotic small subunit ribosomal RNA", at positions 30 to 432 of the family's 1831-position model. The record is from RNAcentral. Lineage: Eukaryota; Bacillariophyta; Bacillariophyceae; Cymbellales; Gomphonemataceae.
GCUUGUCUCAAAGAUUAAGCCAUGCACGUCUAAGUAUAAAUUUUAUAUUGUGAAACUGCGAUUGGCUCAUUAUAUCAGUUAUAGUUUAUUUGAUAAUCCCUUACUACUUGGAUAACCGUAGUAAUUCUAGAGCUAAUACAUGCAUCGAUACCCUUCUCGGGUAUAUAUUUGAUUGAAACCAACCCCUUUCGGGUGAUGUGGUGAUUCAUAAUAAGUUUACGAAUCGCAAGACUUUGUCGGCGAUGGAUCAUUCAAGUUUCUGCCCUAUCAGCUUUGGAUGGUAGGGUAUUGUACUACCGUGGUUUUAACUGGUAACAGAGGACUAGGGUUUGAUUCUGGAGAGGGAGCCUGAGAGACGGCUACCAUAUCCAAGGAAGGCAGCAGG